Long non-coding RNA from Micropterus salmoides (largemouth bass), 417 nucleotides. RefSeq lists it as uncharacterized. The record is from RefSeq and is a predicted model, not a curated record. NCBI's taxonomy places the organism in Eukaryota, Metazoa, Chordata, Actinopteri, Centrarchiformes, Centrarchidae. The transcript has 3 exons.
AGCCCUCGUACCUGCUGCUGACUCCCAGAUCCCUCCGUCCUGGAGUCCCAGCAUCAGUGUCAGUCACCAUCCUGACCAACUCGUCGAUCACUGUAUCUGUUCACAUUGUUCAUGGCAACCAGACCGUGGCCUCACACUCAGCUACAGUUAAAGGAGGUUCAACCAAGCUGCUGACUUUGCCUCCUAUCCAUCAGAGCGAGUCCAGCUACUUGCAGCCUUACAGCCUGGAGGUCAAAGGCCACGUGAGUGGCGUCAAGGUUUUCUCCAACUCAACGCAGCUGGACUUUGACACCAAAGGCCUCUCCACCUUCAUUCAAACAGACAAACUGAACUAUCGGCCCAGGCAGGUGGUGAAGAUCAGAGCGGUGUCCAUUCACCCUGACGGGAAACCUUACAUGAGCCCAGUGGACAUCAUCA